Long non-coding RNA from Cygnus olor (mute swan), 990 nucleotides. RefSeq lists it as uncharacterized. Lineage: Eukaryota; Metazoa; Chordata; Aves; Anseriformes; Anatidae. The transcript has 5 exons. The record is from RefSeq and is a predicted model, not a curated record.
GAGGGUGGUAUUAUGACAAACUGACCCUUGUUCGUGAUGAUGCAUGCCAGAGCUGGAAUGUACCAACCAAGACUCUUCUUCCACUUUCAUCAUACAAUUUUUUAUUCUACGGUGGGGUGAAAAACAGGUGACUCUAAGAAGGUGAGACUGCCCUCAGAGGAAGAAAUACGCAUUUGAGUGCCCCCAGGACAGCUGAGAUCUUUUGUGAGCAUCGGCACUGGAGAGCCUGGUUCACUAUGAGUCUGAUGCAAGCUCUAGGUGCAAGCGAUGGGCGGACUGUGCACACUCAGAUGUAGCUGAGAAACUGCUCUGUACACAGGAUGGGGCAUGAGAGACUGGAUCCAAAGCUUCUUCCAACUGAAAUCUUUCCUAGACAGUUAUAAUCCUACUCUUCUAUGGCUGAACUGGACAGUUGUACUCUUAUUCUUCUAUGGCUGAUCUUCAGAACUGUAUGAAAAAAAUAAUGGUUAUUAGCCUCAUGGUCUAAUACAGGAGUAACUGCUAAUCUGCCUCUUCAUGUGGACAUCAUUAAUGAGGAAUUAACAAAAGGAUUCUCUUACAGCAGUCUGCACAGAGCCCCCCAGUGAAUACUAUGACAGUAUCGUAGGAAAGCCCCCUUUCAUCACCAAGAAUCACUUGAGGCAGAAGUCCUGUGGCAUCUCUGUGUGGACAUUAAAAUACUAGUUUGUGCAUGAUCUUUGAAGCAUCACUCAGAAGUCUGCAGUCUUUCUGUUCUAACUAUGGUUGCCACAUAUUUGUGUGGAACUUGUCUUAAAUCUGUUUGUCCAUUACAUUUAUGAUUUAUUUCUCUGUGAUGCCAGGAGGCAGUUCUCAACAUUGGCUCAUCCUCCGUUACAUCUGUGCUUUAGAUUUGCUGUUCCAUUAUCAUAGAGAUUAAAAAUUGUCUCCAGUCUUCUAACAAGACACAUUAUGUUGUGCUAAUCUAUUGUACUUUGCCAUCAUAUGCUUAUUAAAAAUUCUUCUUUGAAA